UCGGGAGGAGUAGAUGAUCGCCGGAAUCAACCAAAUCGAAACCAGCUCUGCAGCAUGGUGGAGGAGCGAUUCGGGUUAGAGUCUCUAAAGCUAUUGAUCUUGCUCCUGAGUUGUCUAUCCAAUAGUUUGAAGAUCUGAUCCACGGUCCUGAAAGUAUUUGUAUGUAGGCGAGCGUUGCCAAUCCCUUUGAGGAAGUAGUUGGAGUCUUUUAGCUAUGAUUUGCCACAAUUCAUAGCUGUAGUUACAUGUGAAGAACAGAUGAUCUCGAGACUCUUGAUUCGAAUUGCAGAGGAGACAUCGAUCAUCGACCUGAAUUCCCCAAUUUAUCAGCCUAUCCCGAGUUGGUAUUCGGUUCAGUACUACCAGCCAAGCAUGAAAGUUAUGGCGUGGAAUGGCUCGAGAGAUCCAAACUGCCUUAUGCCAAAAGACAUUUGGUCUCGGUUCACAAAGCUGAAUCGUUGUUAGGUAGGAAUACAGCUCGACCUGCGCCUCCGAAUGAGCUGGUGGGAGACUCCAAGUGCCAUCUACGAGCAGUGAGGAGACAAUAGCAUGUAGAGCCUCAACUUGAUCAACAGAAACACAACACUCUUAAGCUUGAGAAGCUUGUUUACGAGCCAGGAGUAGGAUUGCCGGGUUGGUGUUGUCCAGUAGUUAUGAACCGAGCCUUUGAGUAUUACUUCCUUGAACCAUUGGACCCAAACCGAUUCCGGCCUGAAGAAGAGGAGCCAGAGUAGACGAAGAGUGCAGGCCUUGUUCCGGGUUUGAAAAUGCUACAAAGAGAGUUGAUACGCUUGAUGCACCCCUUCGGGAGGAUGAAUGCAGAGCACCAGAAGGUUGUGAUACCUGCAAUUACCGUCUUGAUGAGGAGAAGCCUUCCUGAAAAGGAGAGAGACUUCACUGACCAAGAAGAGAACCGAGCUUUGAUUUGAUGAAGCAGAGGCUCACAGUUGGUUAGCGUCAGUUUCCUUGAGUUCAGCGGAACUCCUAAGUAGCGGAACUGGAGAGAUCCUUGAGACAUGCCAGUAGAAGCUUUGAUCGUGUCUAUUUCCCCCGAUGACAAGCCUGAGGCAUAGAAGCUAGUCUUUUGCAUACUGACAGCCAAGCCUGGCCGUAAUUCAAACUCUUUUAAGACUUGUAGCAACUGCUGGACAGAGUCAAUUGAGCCAUCUAUAAAGAUGAGGAGAUCAUCAGCAAAAGAGAGACACAAGCUCUGAUCUGGCGGAUAAAGUGUGUUGGAAGUUGAAGUCCUUCAAGGCAAGCGAACAAGAAUUCCCAAGAUAAGGUAUCAAAAGCCUUAGCAAUGUCUACUUUGAUGGGAACUUAGGUACUAAGGAAAGGAUGGUAGCAUUUGUAGUAGCCGGGAGGAAGUUGGUUGCGAAGAAGUUUCUGAUGGCUGAGACUGCGACACGCGAUUUCUGUCUGAAGAACAUCUCCUCUAUUUCUCGCAGAAAAUUCCAUUUUUGAUGGAGGUCUCUUUUAGCUUGGAAUGUAGUGGGAUUGGGAUCUUGAAGAGCUUGUACCUGCGCAAUUUGCAACAAACUCUUCUGUUUCAGCAGGAUGAAGAGUAUACAAAAGACAGUUUCUCACUAUGUGGCCAAGCUCAUGGCAAUGAGAGCAGGUUGGAGGUACUCAUGGGUAAUUAACCGAGACCUCAACAACUUCACCAUCUUCCCUUUCAAACUCAACGAUAGAAGGUAGCGGUUUAGUUAGAUCAACCUUCACCUUUACAUGAGAUAAGGUCCAACGGAACUCCGGUGAGGUGGGCUCAUAUCUGGAUGGCCUUUAGCGGUGGAGUAGCUUUGGAAUGGGCAAAGGACCACUGAGCAGUAUGGAACAUUGAAUCACCUACAUACCAGAUGUUCUUUUCCAAGAUCUUCUACCUAAGAAUCAUGGAUUAGGACUCGAGGCCUUCCUGACGGAGCAAUGGUAACCAGAGCAAGACGACGAAGAGUCUUGUUCUCGGAGAGACGGAUUUUCUCAACUAAAGUUGGUGGAGAUGUCGUGGGAGAGGGUUUAUUAUGGGUAGGGUGUUGGCUAGUUUCAGGCUGUUUAGAGAGGUCAUGGCUUGGUAACAGGGGAGUUGUGGAGGAGGCUUUAUUAGUUUGGAUAGGGGAUGAGGAUUGCAGAGGUUGUAUUGUGAAGUUAAGGUUAGGGUUUGGCUCAGUUCCAGAUUGAGGAGCAGUGAUUGUUCCAAAGCACAGAUCUAGAACAGUUGUAGUAGAAAUUGUACGAGCAUCUGCCACAAGCUCAGUUGAGGAGGUAGUUUCAGCAGACAGCUUUGUGAGCUCCUGCAGUAGAAGGUUGAGUUCCUUUAUGUACUAUAGAAGAAACAAUUACAGAUCUGUAGUUGGAAGGUUUGGGAAUUGUUUUGGCAUCGGAAAGUGAAGGGAAAUUGUGUGGUGA
Brassica oleracea var. oleracea is the source of this 2403-nucleotide long non-coding RNA. RefSeq lists it as uncharacterized. The transcript has 9 exons. The record is from RefSeq and is a predicted model, not a curated record. Lineage: Eukaryota; Viridiplantae; Streptophyta; Magnoliopsida; Brassicales; Brassicaceae.